GACGAACGCUGGCGGCGUGCCUAAUACAUGCAAGUUGAGCGAUGAAGCUUGGUGCUUGCACCAAUUUUAAGAGCAGCGAACGGGUGAGUAACGCGUGGGGAAUCUGCCUUUGAGCGGGGGACAACAUUUGGAAACGAAUGCUAAUACCGCAUAACAACUUUAAACAUAAGUUUUAAGUUUGAAAGAUGCAAUUGCAUCACUCAAAGAUGAUCCCGCGUUGUAUUAGCUAGUUGGUGAGGUAAAGGCUCAACAAAGCGAUGAUACAUAGCCGAACUGAGAGGGGGAUCGGCCAAAUUGGGAACGGGACACGGGCCAAGCUCCUACGGGAGGCAGCAGUAGGGAAUCUUCGGCAAUGGACGAAAGGCUGACCGAGCAACGCCGCGUGAGUGAAGAAGGUUUUCGGAUCGUAAAACUCUGUUGGUAGAGAAGAAAGAUGGGGGGAGUGGAAAGCUCAUCAAGUGACGGUAACUAACCAGAAAGGGACGGCUAACUACGUG
This 497-nucleotide ribosomal RNA is filed under the name uncultured bacterium. RNAcentral's name for it is "partial 16S ribosomal RNA". It matches the Rfam family "Bacterial small subunit ribosomal RNA", at positions 28 to 507 of the family's 1533-position model. The record is from RNAcentral.